Molecule: ribosomal RNA, 301 nt
Filed under: uncultured bacterium
Lineage: Bacteria
Description: partial 16S ribosomal RNA
Rfam family: Bacterial small subunit ribosomal RNA
Source: RNAcentral
CAGCAGCCGCGGUAAUACGGAGGGGGCUAGCGUUGUUCGGGAUUACUGGGCGUAAAGCGCACGUAGGCGGCUUUUUAAGUCAGAGGUGAAAGCCCGGAGCUCAACUCCGGAACUGCCUUUGAGACUGGGAGGCUUGAACGUCGGAGAGGUGAGUGGAAUUCCGAGUGUAGAGGUGAAAUUCGUAGAUAUUCGGAAGAACACCAGUGGCGAAGGCGGCUCACUGGACGACUGUUGACGCUGAGGUGCGAAAGCGUGGGGAGCAAACAGGAUUAGAUACCCCGGUAGUCCCUGUCUCUUAUAC